Molecule: long non-coding RNA, 480 nt
Filed under: Homo sapiens (human)
Lineage: Eukaryota; Metazoa; Chordata; Mammalia; Primates; Hominidae
Description: HSALNT0002184
Source: RNAcentral
CCAGGAGAGGCUUCGUGGAGGAGGAUCACACCAAGGGCUAGCUGGGAGGGCCAGGCAGCUCCAGGUUGUCAGGGGCUGCUUCCCUCUUUCUUCAUUUGAAAGCGAACAGCAUGGAGCCCUGGAAAGCUGGCCGCAUCGCACAGGGUGCUCAUGCGGGGCAAAUGUCAGCCAUGUGUCAUUUGCGAGCCCUCAGGCUGCAGAGGAGGCUCUGCCGAGUUCAGGAAGCUGAAGAGCCUUUGGCAUCAGAUGGAUCCUAAUCUUGACUGCUCACGCUUUUGGUCACUUUGCAAGUCGCUUUCCCCUUUGCAACUUCAUUCUCUGAAGAAAUACUUAGUGAACAGCCACUGUAUGCCAGGUUUUGGGGACCUUGGGCCAGUGCCUUAACUCCCUGGGACUCAGUUUAUCCCUCUAGAAAAUGAGACUAUUCCAGCCUGGACAAUAAAGCAAGACCCUGUCUCUACAAAAAUAAAAAUAAAAAAA